AGUCAUCAACCAGAUGCCUCAACUACGAGGACUCAAGGCAUACAUGGCAUAUAACUUUUCGGACAUUUAUUUGAGUUACGCCAACAAGCGCGACGCCUUUAGCCCUCGCUCCGGCGCAGAAACCUUCCUUUAUCCAUCAUGGCGUCACUUCAUGAAGACAUCUACGGAUGACUUUGUCUAUGACCCCAAUCGCAUGCGCUCUAUGGACACCAUCCCCAUCUUUACCAUCAUCAAUGAGGUAGUCCCACCCUCGACUCGGCCCCUCCCUGAACUCACUAUGAACUCUCAGGACAAACGGGGCCGCGGGAUGGAAUCUGCUGCUCCUGCUGGAACAGGUACCUCACGGGCCCAAGGAAACCAAUAGGUGGUUGGCCUCCAGUCUCCACUUUCUUUCGCUACUCUUAACUGUGAUGGUAUACCUGCUGACCCUGACUCCCUUAAGCUGGAGAACCUGGUUCGCAUUUUUUCUUCACACCAUAUCAUUUUCCUACAAGAAACCAGGACUUCCCAGUAUGAUCGACUCCUACAACACCUUCCCAGGCACUUUCUUCUUGGCCAUACUCGUAUACCUCCUCGCAGAGAGGGACUUCAAGGAUUUGGGGUCGCUAUUAUUGCAGCUACUAUCUUCCAAGAUUAUCUUUCUUUGUUAUGUAUCUCUGAUCAACUACAAACUAUUUGGGUUAGGGCACAUGCGGAACUGUUCCGGCUGGAUAGAGAUGUUUACUUAUGUGCUUCAUAUGUGAACCCUGAGAGCCAAAAUACUUCCCCAGAACAAAUCGAUAAUCUCUACUUCACCCUAGGCGAGGAGAUUUUUCAGGCCUAUACACAAACACCACACAUUCUUAUUGGUGGUGAUUUCAACGCACACAUUGCCAACAGAAAAGAACUUUCUGAUGUACAUUACGAGUUUCUCUCACGACAUCCUUACCUCACUCACAAUAGGCAAUCUCGAUGCUCUGAAGUUAACAGAGCGGGCAUACGCCUCCUUGACUUGGCAGCUACUUACAAGCUUCUCAUAACCACAGGACAUGUCAAUGGAGACUUAGGCCAACGAACGUAUACAGGAUAUGAUAACCAAUGUAAUUCUCUUCCAGAUC
This 1097-nucleotide long non-coding RNA is filed under the name Dunaliella salina. RNAcentral describes it as "long non-coding RNA (DSAL_LNC000443)". Lineage: Eukaryota; Viridiplantae; Chlorophyta; Chlorophyceae; Chlamydomonadales; Dunaliellaceae. The record is from RNAcentral.